RNAcentral lists this ribosomal RNA (468 nucleotides) under uncultured bacterium. RNAcentral's name for it is "partial 16S ribosomal RNA". It matches the Rfam family "Bacterial small subunit ribosomal RNA", at positions 28 to 507 of the family's 1533-position model. The record is from RNAcentral.
GACGAACGCUGGCGGCGUGCUUAACACAUGCAAGUCGAACGGAAAGGCCCUGCUUUUGUGGGGUGCUCGAGUGGCGAACGGGUGAGUAACACGUGAGUAACCUGCCCUUGACUUUGUGAUAACUUCAGGAAACUGGGGCUAAUACCGGAUAGGAGCUCCUGCUGCAUGGUGGGGGUUGGAAAGUUUCGGCGGUUGGGGAUGGACUCGCGGCUUAUCAGCUUGUUGGUGGGGUAGUGGCUUACCAAGGGUUUGACGGGUAGCCGGCCUGAGAAGGUGACCGGCCACCAUGGGACUGCGGUACGCACCAGAAUCGUACCGGAGGCAGCAGUGGAAAAUAUUACACAGUGGGCCCAAGUCUGAUGCAGCGACGCCGCGUGCGGGAUACCGGCCUUCGGGUUAUGAACCGAUUUCGACUGUAACGAAGACUGAGUGACGGUAAUGGGUAAGAAAGCACCGGCUAACUACGUG